Long non-coding RNA from Cucurbita maxima (winter squash), 1516 nucleotides. RefSeq lists it as uncharacterized. The transcript has 5 exons. The record is from RefSeq and is a predicted model, not a curated record. NCBI's taxonomy places the organism in Eukaryota, Viridiplantae, Streptophyta, Magnoliopsida, Cucurbitales, Cucurbitaceae.
UAUAUAUAUAUAUAGGUCCGGUCGUUCAAUCGAUUCCAGACAGUGUUACGCAUUGCCCGCUCUCUAGAAAAUAAAGCAGAGUGCCAUUUUAUGGAUAUAACAGUACCUGGUGGGAAUGAUCCUGAGGAAGUGACUCGUGAGUCGCUUAUCGCCAUUUCUUACGAGGAACCAGAAACAGCUCUCUCUUCAAAGCGAUCAUCUGGAAAGCUCAGUAGCGAAAACCUCAAUCUGGUCAACGGGAUAGACCACAGUCUGGUGGAAGGGAAAGAAUACGAUGUAGAGAAAUAUAGAUCUGAGCUGAUAGCCAUUUCCUUUCUUGAGUCACCACCUGAAAUUGGAAGUGGAACCGUGACCGAACUCAAGGGUUAGUGCCUGGACGUCCGUUAUCAUAAAUGUAUACGCUCUUAUGUAAAAAUGGUACUAAUCUAAGUUCAUGGCUGUGUUGUUAUGACUGUAGAGCAAUGCUGUCCGUGUUCGUUGUUUUUGUAACAUAAACCCUCUGCACGGGUUGUCUGUCUGUACUAUCUUGUGGAAACUUAUUGCUGUGUGAACCCAAUGAAUGAACUUGGUACUCAGCAUUUUUCUUAUUCAUUUAUGUCAUUUUAUUGUAAUAUCAUACAGUGGUGCCUUAAAUAUUGUAUAUAGUUUAUACAUUGUAUGUUAAUAGUUUCAAACUAAUUAUUGUUUCAAGUAGUUUAUAGUUAAGAUGAUUGAGUUUAGUACUUGAGGAGAGUCGUUUGAUAUCUAUGCUACUAUUCGGCCGGCUUGGUUAGUUUAGUUGCAUAACAUUGUUAUGUGCUUGUUAUACUGCUCAUUGUUUCUGAGUGGUUCGUUUUUUUAUUGUUAGUGUCAAAAACCUGAUUCCAAACUAUUCUCCUGAUUGAAGUUUGUAAAUCCAGCCAAAAUUUAGCAAAUGGUUGCACAAUUUUCUUGGAGUGCUGAAAGAAUUGAAAAAUGAUCUUUAGUUAUGAAUGAGACAGGUGAAAAAUGGGGCGACAAAAUCUGACUUGCAGAUUGAUGGAGAACGGUGGAAACAACCAGGAUCCUUGGUAGCCUUUCAACAUCAGAUUCACACGAAAUAGAUGCCGUUAAUAGUUCAUUGCAUAGCUUCUGCACAUUUGUCCAAGCUAGAAUAAUAUAGCUUCUGCACGUCGCUUAUUGCCAUCUCUUACGUGGAACCAGUAACAAUUUUCUCUUCAAAGCAAUCAUCUGGAAAGCUUGGUAGCGAAAACCUCAAUCUGGUCAAUGUGAUAGACCACAAUCUGGUGAUCUGAGCUGACAGAUAUUUUCUUCCUCGAGUCACCACCUGAAAUUGGAAGUGGAACAGUGGCCGAAUACAAGGAUUCCAAAUUUUAGCAAAUGGUUGUACAAAGUUCCUGGAAUGCUGAAAGAAUUGAAAAAUGAUCUUUAGCUAUGAAUGAGACAGGUCAAAAAUGAUGGAGAACGAUGGAAACAACCGGAAUCAUCGGUAGCCUUUCCACAUCAGAUUCACAAGAAUUGGGUCAGGAGGCAGUGG